GUGUACCCCACUGUGUACACUACUUUCGAUUAUCAAUACAUGUACAAUAGAAAGUGAGUAGCAACUCGCAUACAUAAUGUAUAUUACCAAAAGGAAUAUAUUUCAGUUUUGUUCUCACUGUUAACCAAGUCAGAUGCCUACCGAAUCCGAAAACCUUUGAAUAUAACAGUGGCUCGAGGAUGAACUGGAUUUAUUGUUUCAUUUUGUCGCGUGAUUUUUUAUUUUUUUUGCUUCGGCCAGUGAUUUUUCUGAAAGCGUGCAAAAUUUGUGAAAUUGUGUACACAUCGUAAAUUUUGUGUGGAACAUUUUCCGUUGGUUCGGCGCGGAGGCAUCUUUUUGUGCACAUUUUUGUUUUGUUUCGGUGACGAUACUGGGUGACGUUUUUUUUUCGUUUUACACUUCAACUUUUUUUUCCUGCCGAUUGGGUCGUUGAUUUUUACAUAACUAAAUCAUUUUUCCAAUCGUGCAGCGUAUUUUUUUAUUUGUGUUGUAAGUGUGUUUUUAUAAUUGUACUUUUCAUAAAACGUCAUUUUGAAUCGCUAGCAACGAUUCUUUUAAGCCCAGAUUUUAUUGUUCGUCUUUUUGUGCCAUUUUGCUUGGCAACGCAACAGUGAGCAGUAUGAACAACGAUAUGAUGCCGAUAUCAUUUACAAGAAUGUCGCACUUCGGCAUACGGUAUUAGGAGAACAACGGUGCGGCAGGGCGCUUUUGUUGCCCAAUUUUGAUAUGAAUGCUGUUUCCCGACGAUGGAGAGGACAGAUGACGAUCAACUCACGCAAACGGGUAGUUUCAUCAACUGUGGAGAACUAUUACAAAACGUGUAAUUUGUGUUUAAUUUUAACGUGUUUAGUCUAGCCCCAAUGUUUUUUUUUGUUUAGGGGAAAGAAUCGGCUCUUUAAUCUUAAAUUGUAGAAAAAAAUGAAUGAAGCAGUAUACAACUAUAAUUAUAAAAAGAGCAGUUUUGAUAACAAUUUUUAAAUUAGUUUAAUAUCUCACUUACUGAUGCAAAUGGUUCAUUUUAGAUUAGGGCAAAUCAAACCUGAUUUUGCAUUCGGAAUGAUUGAUUGGAAUUGUGUCGUAGAACUUAACUUUUCUGAAUAAACAGAUAAAUAGUUUCCAAUCUUAAGGGAAGAGGAGUUGUAGUGUACCCCACUGUGUACACUACUUUCGAUUAUCAAUACAUGUACAAUAGAAAGUGAGUAGCAACUCGCAUACAUAAUGUAUAUUACCAAAAGGAAUAUAUUUCAGUUUUGUUCUCACUGUU
Molecule: long non-coding RNA, 1264 nt
Organism: Aedes albopictus (Asian tiger mosquito)
Lineage: Eukaryota; Metazoa; Arthropoda; Insecta; Diptera; Culicidae
Exons: 2
Source: RefSeq, a predicted model, not a curated record